UCUGGCGGCAGUAGCGCGGUGGUCCCACCUGACCCCAUGCCGAACUCAGAAGUGAAACGCCGUAGCGACGAUGGU
This 75-nucleotide ribosomal RNA is filed under the name Salmonella enterica subsp. enterica serovar Enteritidis. Lineage: Bacteria; Pseudomonadati; Pseudomonadota; Gammaproteobacteria; Enterobacterales; Enterobacteriaceae. The record is from RNAcentral.